RNAcentral lists this ribosomal RNA (1483 nucleotides) under uncultured Bordetella sp. RNAcentral's name for it is "partial 16S-23S ribosomal RNA intergenic spacer". It matches the Rfam family "Bacterial small subunit ribosomal RNA". Lineage: Bacteria; Pseudomonadati; Pseudomonadota; Betaproteobacteria; Burkholderiales; Alcaligenaceae. The record is from RNAcentral.
GGUUCGAUUAUGGCUCAGAUUGAACGCUGGCGGGAUGUCGCUACACAUGCAAGUCGAACGGCAGCACGGACUUCGGUCUGGUGGCGAGUGGCGAACGGGUGAGUAAUGUCGGAACGCGUACUAGUAGCGGGGAUAACUACGCGAAAGCGUAGCUAAUACCGCAUACGCCCUUCGAAGAGCGGGGGACCUUCGGGCCUCGCGCUAUUAGAGCGGCCGAUAUCGGAUUAGCUAGUUGGUGCAGGGUAACGGCUCACCAAGGCGACGAUCCGUAGCUGGUUUGAGAGGACGACCAGCCACACUGGGACUGGAGACACGGCCCCAGACUCCUACAGGAAGCCAGCAGUGGGGAAUUUUGGACAAUGGGGAAACCUGUCAGCCAUCCGCGUGUGCGAUGAAGGCCUUCGGGUUGUGAAAGCACUUUUGGCGAAAAACGGCGCGGAUAAUACCCCGUCAGCUGACAGUACCUGCAGAAUAAGCACCGGCUAACUACGUGCCAGCAGCCAUGAUAAUGUCGCAAUAAAGUGCAAAGCGUUAAUCAGAACUACUGGGCAUCUACAAAAGCGUGCGCAGGGCGGUUCCGGAAGAAAGAUGUGAAAUCCCCAGAGCUUAGCUUUGGAACUGCAUUUUAACUACCAAGGCUGGGAAUUGUGUCAGAGGGAGGUGGAAUUACGCGUGUGAUGAAGUAAACAGGCUAUGCGGAGAACACCGAUAGCGAAGGCAGCCUCCUGGGAUAACACUGACGCUCCCCUUGCGCAGCAAUGGGGAGCAAACAGGAUUAGAUACCCUGGUAGUCCACGCCUAAAGCAAUCAUCAACUAACUUCUUUAGGGCCUUGAACUUGGUAGCGCAGCUAACGCGUGAAGUUGACCGCCUGGGGAGAUACGGUCGCAAGAUUAAAACUCAAGGAAUUGACGAGGACCCGCUGUGGUGGAUGAUGUGGAUUAAUUCGAUGCGCGAAAAAUAACACCCUUAUGGCGUAUGUAUCUGGAAUCGAAGAGAUUUGGGAGUGCUCGCAAAACAGGAACACAGGUGCAUGGCUGUCGUCGACUCGUGUCGUGAGAUGUUGGGUUAAGUCCGCAACGAGCGCAACCUGCUGUCAUUAGUUGCUACGAAAGGGCACUCUAGUAUGCCGAGACUACUGAUGGCUCAAGGCCGGAGGAAGGUGGGGAUGACGUCAGUCCUCCAUAGCCCCUCCUCGGUGAGGCUUCACACGUCAUACAAUGGUCGGGACAGAGAAUCGCCAGCCCGCGAAGAGGCCAAUCCAGAAACCCGAUCGUAGUCCAGAUCGCGGUCUGCAGCUCGACUGCGUGAAGUCGGAAUCGCUGGUAAUCGCGGAUCAGCAUGUCGCGGUGAAUACACGUUCCCAGGUCUUAUACACACUGCCAAUCACACCAUGAGAGUGGGUUUACCAGUAGUUAGCCUAACCGUAAGGAGGGCGAUUACCACGGUAGGAUUCAUGACUGGGGUAAGUCGUAACAAGAUAG